GACGAACGCUGGCGGCGUGCCUAACACAUGCAAGUCGAGCGGAGUCGAUCGACGGAAGCCUUCGGGCGGAAGAUGGUUGACUUAGCGGCGGAUGGGUGAGUAACGCGUGGGCAACCUGCCUCGAAGACCGGGAUAACAGCCCGAAAGGGCUGCUAAUACCGGAUGUGGUCAAGGAUCCGCAUGGAUUUUUGAUUAAAGGGGAAACCCGUUUCGAGAUGGGCCCGCGUCCUAUCAGCUAGUUGGUGAGGUAAAAGCUCACCAAGGCGACGACGGGUAGCCGGCCUGAGAGGGUGACCGGCCACACUGGAACUGAGACACGGUCCAGACUCCUACGGGGGCAGCAGUGGGGAAUCUUCCACAAUGGGCGAAAGCUUGAUGGAGCGACGCCGCGUGAGCGAAGAAGGCCUUCGGUUGUAAGCUCUGUCUGAGGGACGAAGGAAGUGACGGUACCUCCGGAGGAAGCCACGGCUAACUACGUG
RNAcentral lists this ribosomal RNA (479 nucleotides) under uncultured bacterium. RNAcentral's name for it is "bacterial SSU rRNA". It matches the Rfam family "Bacterial small subunit ribosomal RNA", at positions 28 to 507 of the family's 1533-position model. The record is from RNAcentral.